UUUUUCUUUUUUUUCCCUGAGACAGGCUCUUGCUCUGUGGCCCAAGCUGGGGUGCAGUGGCACGAUCAUAGCCGACUGGCUUCAACUUCCUAGAUUCAAGUACUCCUCCCAACUCAGCCCCGCUAGCAGCUGGGCCCACAAGCACAUGCCACUACACCCAGCUAAUUUUCUAUUUUGUUUAUCGUUUGUAAAGACAGGGUCUUAUUAUGUUGCCCAGGUCAUAUCGGGCUCCUGGGCUAAGCAAUUCUCCUGCCUCAGCCUCCCUAAGUGCUGGAAUUACAGGCAUGGCCACCACACCUGGCCACAUAUUUUCAAACUGCAGUUGACCACAGGUAACUAAAACCAUGGAUAAAAUAAAAACUGUAAGCUGAAUAAUUUCCAGAGCUCCCACAAGGCUGGAAUAUAUUUGAGUUCUGGUGACCCGAAUGGUUACACCUCAGUGAUCUCCAGGGCAUGCAGUAGAAAACCCAGAAAUAUCAUGCCCCUAUUGUAAAGCUAAAUUAGGACUACAGAUGACUCCAGGCCGACUCCAACAAAGUUUACAAACAAGCAUGAAAAAGAACAAGCUGAUAAUCAAAUACAUUUGACCCUUGAACAAUACAAGAGUUAAAGGCAUAGCAGUCAAAAACUCCUGUAUAACUUUUGACUCCCCCAAAAUGUCAUUACCAAUAGCCUAUUGUUGACUGGAAGCCUUACCAAUAACAUAAAGUCAACUCAUUUUGUUUAUGUCUUAUAUACUGUGUUGUUACAAGCUACAGAAAAUAUUGAAUGAUACGGAAGAGAAAUUACACCUACAGUACUGUACUGAUACUUCAAGAUGACCGUCUGAAAUGGAGGGCAACUACAGCUUUAGACCUCAAUCUGUAAAGGUACUUUACAAGCAAAUUUAACUUUUUCUUACGUCAUGACUUUUCUCUGCUUCUUGAGCAAUUCCAGCACCACCAGUAACCUCUGUAUGGGUCUCAUGGUGUUAUUCAAGGCUUAUGUUAUUGCACUACACAUAGUGAAAGAUACUUCAGAACGGCAAGAGAUCACUUUUAUUGCCAUAUGCAAUUUACUGGAGAGAUGAACUGCUCACUCAGAGAUAUGAGUACUACAUGGCAUUUUAAAUGAAUACUCACAACACUUAAGCUCACUGCAAUAGCAACAGGAGGUGGCUACAAAAAUAUGACGGCAGCAUAGUAUGUACUGUAAUUUUAUGCAGUUAUAAUUUAAUGCUGCAGUCCCCAACCUUUCUGGCACCAGGGACCAGUUUUGUGGAAGACAGUUUAUCCAUGGACCCCAGGUUGGGUUGGGGAAGAGAGGGGGAUGAAACUGUUCCAUCUCAGAUUAUCAGGCAUUAGAGUCUCAUAAGGAGGCAUAACAUAAGUCCCUCACAUGUACAGUUCACAACAAGUUCCCACUCCUAUGAGAAUCUAAUGCCGCCGCUCAUCUGACAGGUGGUAGAGCUCAGGUGGUAAAAGUCUCUGGUGCUCACCGGUCGCUCACUUCCUGCUGUGUGGCCCCAGUUCCUAACAGGCCACGGGGGGCAGAGGACCCCCGAAUUUUACAUUUGUUUACAUUUCUCUUGACUAUGAAUGGUACCAUGUAUGGUCUGAGUUUGUGAAAGUUUUGAUAAAUUUUAACUUUUUAUAAUAGAUUUGUAUAUAUUUUAUCAUAGUAAAUGAUGAAACAGACUAGUAGCUAUACAUAUUUUAGGCAUUUAUGAUGUACCUUUUUAAAAAUUUAAAAAAUAUUCCUAGGUUAUGUGUUUUUCUAUGAGUAUUUUCAAAUUAAGUCUCAAAAAAUUUUUGUUUAUUGAAAAAAAAAUCUACGUAUAAAUGGACACACACAGUUCAGACUUGUGUAGUUCAAGGGUCAACUGUAAUUGUCUGCCAAGACAAAGUCCAACAGUUUAAGAAAAAAAAUAAACAGAAUUCAGACACUUGAUAAUGUAACAUGACAAUGUAAUAAUGAAAGAGCCAGAAUCCAAUCCAAAUUAAUGCACAU
RNAcentral lists this long non-coding RNA (1989 nucleotides) under Macaca fascicularis (crab-eating macaque). RNAcentral describes it as "lncRNA (ENSMFAG00000064249.1)". Lineage: Eukaryota; Metazoa; Chordata; Mammalia; Primates; Cercopithecidae. The record is from RNAcentral.